Molecule: ribosomal RNA, 586 nt
Filed under: uncultured bacterium
Lineage: Bacteria
Description: partial 16S ribosomal RNA
Rfam family: Bacterial small subunit ribosomal RNA
Source: RNAcentral
UGGGGAAUUUUGGACAAUGGGCGCAAGCCUGAUCCAGCCAUGCCGCGUGCGGGAAGAAGGCCUUCGGGUUGUAAACCGCUUUUGUCAGGGAAGAAAUCUUCUGAGUUAAUACCUCGGGAGGAUGACGGUACCUGAAGAAUAAGCACCGGCUAACUACGUGCCAGCAGCCGCGGUAAUACGUAGGGUGCAAGCGUUAAUCGGAAUUACUGGGCGUAAAGCGUGCGCAGGCGGUUUUGUAAGACAGAGGUGAAAUCCCCGGGCUCAACCUGGGAACUGCCUUUGUGACUGCAAGGCUUGAGUGCGGCAGAGGGGGAUGGAAUUCCGCGUGUAGCAGUGAAAUGCGUAGAUAUGCGGAGGAACACCGAUGGCGAAGGCAAUCCCCUGGGCCUGCACUGACGCUCAUGCACGAAAGCGUGGGGAGCAAACAGGAUUAGAUACCCUGGUAGUCCACGCCCUAAACGAUGUCAACUGGUUGUUGGGAAGGUUCCUUCUCAGUAACGUAGCUAACGCGUGAAGUUGACCGCCUGGGGAGUACGGCCGCAAGGUUGAAACUUAAAGGAAUUGACGGGGUCAUAGCUGUUUCCUG